This 98-nucleotide microRNA precursor is filed under the name Gorilla gorilla gorilla (western lowland gorilla). RNAcentral's name for it is "mir-544 microRNA precursor family". It matches the Rfam family "mir-544 microRNA precursor family". Lineage: Eukaryota; Metazoa; Chordata; Mammalia; Primates; Hominidae. The record is from Rfam by way of RNAcentral.
CUCACCUGAGAGUCUUGUUAAAAUGCAGAUUCUAAUUCAAUAAGACUACCAUGAGGCCUGAGGCUCUGCUUUUCUAGCAAGCUCUGGGGUGAUGCCAU